This 75-nucleotide transfer RNA is filed under the name Chitinophagaceae bacterium. Its description in RNAcentral is "tRNA-Val". It matches the Rfam family "tRNA". Rfam says of the family: Transfer RNA (tRNA) molecules are approximately 80 nucleotides in length. Their secondary structure includes four short double-helical elements and three loops (D, anti-codon, and T loops). Lineage: Bacteria; Pseudomonadati; Bacteroidota; Chitinophagia; Chitinophagales; Chitinophagaceae. The record is from RNAcentral.
GGGACGUUAGCUCAGUUGGUUUAGAGCACAGCCUUGACAGGGCUGGGGUCACUGGUUCGAAUCCAGUACGUCCCA